RNAcentral lists this ribosomal RNA (465 nucleotides) under Vreelandella stevensii. RNAcentral's name for it is "partial 16S ribosomal RNA". It matches the Rfam family "Bacterial small subunit ribosomal RNA", at positions 338 to 795 of the family's 1533-position model. Lineage: Bacteria; Pseudomonadati; Pseudomonadota; Gammaproteobacteria; Oceanospirillales; Halomonadaceae. The record is from RNAcentral.
CCUACGGGAGGCUGCAGUGGGGAAUAUUGGACAAUGGGCGAAAGCCUGAUCCAGCCAUGCCGCGUGUGUGAAGAAGGCCUUCGGGUUGUAAAGCACUUUCAGUGGGGAAGAAAGCCUUGGGGCUAAUACCCUCGAGGAAGGACAUCACCCACAGAAGAAGCACCGGCUAACUCCGUGCCAGCAGCCGCGGUAAUACGGAGGGUGCGAGCGUUAAUCGGAAUUACUGGGCGUAAAGCGCGCGUAGGCGGUCUGAUAAGCCGGUUGUGAAAGCCCCGGGCUCAACCUGGGAACGGCAUCCGGAACUGUCGGGCUAGAGUGCAGGAGAGGAAGGUAGAAUUCCCGGUGUAGCGGUGAAAUGCGUAGAGAUCGGGAGGAAUACCAGUGGCGAAGGCGGCCUUCUGGACUGACACUGACGCUGAGGUGCGAAAGCGUGGGUAGCAAACAGGAUUAGAUACCCGAGUAGUC